Molecule: unclassified non-coding RNA, 327 nt
Filed under: soil metagenome
Description: partial contains 5.8S ribosomal RNA, internal transcribed spacer 2, and large subunit ribosomal RNA
Rfam family: 5.8S ribosomal RNA (bases 1-120)
Source: RNAcentral
GAUGAAGAACGUAGCGAAAUGUGAUAAGUAAUGUGAAUUGCAGAAUUCAGUGAAUCAUCGAAUCUUUGAACGCACAUUGCGCCCCUUGGUAUUCCGAGGGGCAUGCCUGUUCGAGCGUCAUUUUGACCACUCCCGCUUGCGGGGUCUUGGGCCUUCGCCUCUGGGCGGGCCUUAAAAUCAGUGGCGGUGCCGUCCGGCUCUAAGCGUAGUAAAUCUCCUCGCUAUAGGGUUCCGGAGGGAUGCUGGCCAACAACCCCCAACUUUUAAGGUUGACCUCGGAUCAGGUAGGGAUACCCGCUGAACUUAAGCAUAUCAAUAAGCGGAGGA